CUAGUUUGAAGAUUUCCUCUGGGAGAUCGUCUUUUUCUAGUAAACCGUUUCCUAAAAUUUCCAUACUCUUAUCUGCUGGAGAACAUUCAUUUUCGGACUGUUUUUCUAUUUCAUCAGGAGGUUCGUCAUUUUCACAAGGGUGUCCUUUACAAGGUCCUUUACACUGCUUACAUUUUCGUGUCUUUUUGGUAACUUUUCCCUGCAUUUCGAUUCAAAACGUAUUUCGAAUUCUAAGGAUUUGUUUUGCGUUUGUUUUCACUGGG
RNAcentral lists this long non-coding RNA (263 nucleotides) under Mytilus galloprovincialis (Mediterranean mussel). Lineage: Eukaryota; Metazoa; Mollusca; Bivalvia; Mytilida; Mytilidae. The record is from RNAcentral.